CUUACACAUGUCAAGUCGAACGAUGAAGCACUUCGGUGUGGAUUAGUGGCGAACGGGUGAGUAACACGCCGAGCAACCUGCCCCUUUCUCUGGGAUAACCGCCGGAAACGGUCGCUAAUACCGGAUAUUCACUUUUCCGUGCAUGCGGUUUGGUGGAGAGAUUUUUUGGUGGGGGAUGGGCUCGCGGCCUAUCAGCUUGUUGGUGGGGUAAUGGCCUACCAAGGCUUCGACGGGUAGCCGGCCUGAGAGGGCGACCGGCCACACUGGGACUGAGAUACGGCCCAGACUCCUACGGGAGGCAGCAGUGGGGAAUAUUGCACAAUGGGGGAAACCCUGAUGCAGCAACGCCGCGUGCGGGAUGACGGCCUUCGGGUUGUAAACCGCUUUCAGCAGGGGCGAAUUCAGACGGUACCUGCAGAAGAAGCACCGGCUAACUACGUGCCAGCAGCCGCGGUGAUACGUAGGGUGCGAGCGUUGUCCGGAUUUAUUGGGCGUAAAGAGCUCGUAGGUGGUUUGUUGCGUCGGAAGUGAAAACCCAAGGCUUAACUUUGGGCUUGCUUUCGAUACGGGCAGACUUGGGGAAGGUAGGGGAGAACGGAAUUCCUGGUGGAGCGGUGGAAUGCACAGAUAUCAGGAGGAACACCGGUGGCGAAGGCGGUUCUCUGGACCUUUCCUGACGCUGAGGAGCGAAAGCGUGGGGAGCAAACAGGCUUAGAUACCCUGAUAGUCCACGCCGUAAACGGUGGGCACUAGGUGUGGGGGGACAUUCCACGUUCUCCGAUGCCGUAGCUAACGCAUUAAUGUGCCCCCGUCCUGGGGAGUACGGACCGCAAGGCU
RNAcentral lists this ribosomal RNA (837 nucleotides) under uncultured Kineococcus sp. Its description in RNAcentral is "bacterial SSU rRNA". It matches the Rfam family "Bacterial small subunit ribosomal RNA", at positions 48 to 895 of the family's 1533-position model. Lineage: Bacteria; Bacillati; Actinomycetota; Actinomycetes; Kineosporiales; Kineosporiaceae. The record is from RNAcentral.